AGUGAACGCUGGCGGUAGGCCUAACACAUGCAAGUCGAACGGAAGCACAGUAAGAGCUUGCUCUUACGGGUGGCGAGUGACGGACGGGUGAGGAAUACAUCGGAAUCUACUUUUUCGUGGGUGAUAACGUAGGGAAACUUACGCUAAUACCUAAUACGACCUACGGGUGAAAGCAAUGGAUCUUCGGAUCUUUCGCGAUUGAAUGAGCCGAUGUCGGAUUAGCUAGUUGGCGGGGUAAAGGCCCACCAAGGCGACGAUCCGUAGCUGGUCUGAGAGGAUGAUCAGCCACACUGGAACUGAGACACGGUCCAGACUCCUACGGGAGGCAGCAGUGGGGAAUAUUCGACAAUGGGCGCAAGCCUGAUCCAGCCAUACCGCGUGGGUGAAGAAGGCCUUCGGGUUGUAAAGCCCUUUUGUUGGGAAAGAACAGCAGCAGGUUAAUACCCCGCUGUUUUGACGGUACCCAAAGAAUAAGCACCGGCUAACUUCGUG
RNAcentral lists this ribosomal RNA (492 nucleotides) under uncultured bacterium. Its description in RNAcentral is "partial 16S ribosomal RNA". It matches the Rfam family "Bacterial small subunit ribosomal RNA", at positions 29 to 507 of the family's 1533-position model. The record is from RNAcentral.